CCUACGGGAGGCACCAGUGGGGAAUAUUGCGCAAUGGGCGAAAGCCUGACGCAGCGACGCCGCGUGAGGGAUGAAGGUUUUCGGAUCGUAAACCUCUGUCAGAAGGGAAGAAACUACGUUGUGCUAAUCAGCAGCGUACUGACGGUACCUUCAAAGGAAGCACCGGCUAACUCCGUGCCAGCAGCCGCGGUAAUACGGAGGGUGCAAGCGUUAAUCGGAAUUACUGGGCGUAAAGCGCACGUAGGCUGUAGUGUAAGUCAGGGGUGAAAUCCCACGGCUCAACCGUGGAACUGCCUUUGAU
RNAcentral lists this ribosomal RNA (301 nucleotides) under uncultured bacterium. RNAcentral's name for it is "bacterial SSU rRNA". It matches the Rfam family "Bacterial small subunit ribosomal RNA", at positions 338 to 631 of the family's 1533-position model. The record is from RNAcentral.